Sander lucioperca (pikeperch) is the source of this 464-nucleotide long non-coding RNA. RefSeq lists it as uncharacterized. Lineage: Eukaryota; Metazoa; Chordata; Actinopteri; Perciformes; Percidae. The transcript has 2 exons. The record is from RefSeq and is a predicted model, not a curated record.
AAAACAACCAGGUUCAGGUGAGAAAGUAUAAGAUAAGCCUUUAACAUUACCCCACUGCACUGAACAGCAACCCCAUAUUCACAUAUGUUAUGAAUAGGUGAAUUUAUAACCUUUGGUAGCCUACACAUACAUUCUCUGUUGAUUAGUUGAUUACAUUUGCCUUCUGGUUGACAGCACAAAGGAGUGAGGAGAAUAGAGAGAGAGAAGGGCAGAGAGAGCAAGAUGAACAAGUGAUAUGACGGAGGGAGGGGGAUAGAGGGAGAGAGCAGGAUGGAGAGAGAGUGAACAAAGAGAGGGACCUGGAAGAACCAGGUGAGAAAGUGGAUAUAUAUUAUACGGGCAAAAACACUUAAAAUAUUCCAUUCACAUUAUAUUUACAUAUGCAUUUCAUGGAGGACUAGGCUCUUAAGAAAAAGAGAUGUUGUAUUUUCCCCAUCUGGUUCAGAGGCAUUAUUAGAUUAGAU